GACGAACGCUGGCGGCGUGCCUAAUACAUGCAAGUAGAACGCUGAAGGAGGAGCUUGCUUCUCCGGAUGAGUUGCGAACGGGUGAGUAACGCGUAGGUAACCUGCCUGGUAGCGGGGGAUAACUAUUGGAAACGAUAGCUAAUACCGCAUAAGAGUAGAUGUCGCAUGACAUUUGCUUAAAAGGUGCAACUGCACCACUACCAGAUGGACCUGCGUUGUAUUAGCUAGUUGGUGAGGUAACGGCUCACCAAGGCAACGAUACAUAGCCGACCUGAGAGGGUGAUCGGCCACACUGGGACUGAGACACGGCCCAGACUCCCACGGGAGGCAGCAGUAGGGAAUCUUCGGCAAUGGACGGAAGUCUGACCGAGCAACGCCGCGUGAGUGAAGAAGGUUUUCGGAUCGUAAAGCUCUGUUGUAAGAGAAGAACGAGUGUGAGAGUGGAAAGUUCACACUGUGACGGUAUCUUACCAGAAAGGGACGGCUAACUACGUG
RNAcentral lists this ribosomal RNA (495 nucleotides) under uncultured bacterium. RNAcentral describes it as "partial 16S ribosomal RNA". It matches the Rfam family "Bacterial small subunit ribosomal RNA", at positions 28 to 507 of the family's 1533-position model. The record is from RNAcentral.